Molecule: long non-coding RNA, 933 nt
Filed under: Oreochromis niloticus (Nile tilapia)
Lineage: Eukaryota; Metazoa; Chordata; Actinopteri; Cichliformes; Cichlidae
Description: lncRNA (ENSONIG00000030478.1)
Source: RNAcentral
UGGUGGAGUGGCGACAAGGAGCCAAAAGACGGGUGGCCGGUCUAUGAAGCCUCCAUCAUCAAGCUAGCAGAAAUCCCACCUCUCCUUCUGGCUACAGAGCACUUACUUACCAAGCCCAUGAAAUCGAAUGCAGAUCUUCCUGAUGUGAGAUUUACAUAAAUGUAAGUAAUUUGUUUGUCAUUGUCAUUAAUGUUGUUGCUGUUGUUGUUUUUGUGAAGUUUGCAAUAUAAACCUAGCAAGCAUCAGUCAGCACAGUGACUAACCUAAACAGAUUCUUGCUUUAUUCACAUAUAUUAUAUGUAAUUAUAUAUACCUGCACAUUGUACCUAGGGUUGCAGCCACUUGGCCCCACCCCAUUGUUGUGACAGCCCUGACUGUACACUGCAUCUGAACAGGGAACAGUCUGCCACAUUAAUGUAUUUUAAGUGACUUGUUUGUAAUACAUGAAUUUGCUUCUUACAGAUGUCAAAGUCUCAACCUCAUGCUGCCCUCCCCCAUCCUCCUAAACCUGUGGAUACAAAUGCAGAUUUCCUUAAUGUUCAAUGGUGCGUGUUCUUCUAAUGGCCGCCUUCCCACUGGAGGUUUUGAUCCACAGCAAUUUAAAAGGAGGACAGAGCAAAACGGACAUCGGCACAGAGUGAAGAACUGCCCUUCACAAGGACACUAUGACAGCCAUAUAUAUGGCGGUAAGGAAGAGGUUUCCCAAUGUGUCCAGAAGGGCUUUGAGGAUUGCAGUGAAAGCUGGGGGAACUGAGACUGCUGGAGAAGGAAAAGAAAUUACAUUUUAAGUAUGUUGACUUAUGUUAAUACAAUCACACAGAAAAUAUACACAUACACACACACACACAUAUAUAUAUAUGUAUAUAUGUGUGUGUGUGUGUGUGUGUGUUUCUUUUAGAAUGUUUAAGUAUGUAAUGAGAAUAAAAUUAUAAA